Long non-coding RNA from Heterocephalus glaber (naked mole-rat), 1296 nucleotides. RefSeq lists it as uncharacterized. The record is from RefSeq and is a predicted model, not a curated record. NCBI's taxonomy places the organism in Eukaryota, Metazoa, Chordata, Mammalia, Rodentia, Bathyergidae.
GCCAGCACUGGUCAGGCCGGUGACAAAGCCCCGCGGGGAGUGCCAGGAACUUGCAGUGCCCAGAGCCAGCAGGCCGCCGGCCCAGGGCACAGCAGUGCAUGGCCCAGAACUUCAUCUGAGGGCCUUUGUGGGUCUCCGGGAGCCUGUCCAGGAGCAUGCCGGGAACGGCCAGGGCGCUAUGGGGAAGCUCGGCAGGGGGGAGAAGCGCAAGCCUUUUUCCAAAGCGAAGGGACCCUAGUACGGCGGGUCUUGCCCGGGCAGGAUACGCUGAGCCGCAAGGUUCCGGGGCGCGCGGCUCUCUGCCGCCCUCUGCUGGCCGAAUCGAGAAUUACCGGAGCGUCAAGCCACCCGUCCGAGCCCCCCCGGAAGUCGUGGGCAAGGGCCACCCCCUCUUGCUCGCACUGAGAAAGGGAGACGAAGGAGGUCGUGUGGGACAUCCGCCUGCCCGAGGUCCAGCCGCAGACGUCUAUCACCAUCCUCCGUGUCGUGAUGCUUGCUCUUUCUGGAAGUCCUGUGUGUGGUCCAACCUGUGUGCUUCCUCAGCUUGCCCAGGCUGUCUUCGGAGGCCAUGCUCUUACACAACACCGAGAGAAAAUGAGGGCUCCCCCAACACCCCCAUGGCGACUGAGGGCCCCUCUUCCCUAACCCAGCGGCCUCUGAGAAUUGAGGGAUGUGCAGGAACUUUGCCCCCCUGCCCUCCAGCCGGGACCUUAGGGGUCUAACUGGACGAGAUCCGGAAGCCACCCCGCCAAACCCUCGGAGAGCCCUGCGAAGAGUCGGGCAUUGAGGCUCUUUUGGGGUCUUGGCUCCACCUUCUGGUAGCUACAGGAACUGCACCUCCAGGCUGUCCGGGCGGGAACUCCUGGACAUUACAACAGACUUCGAUGAAGCCUGGGGCCCAGCUCAGCUUGGCACACAUUAUCCCAUUCCAUCCUCACAGCAACCCACGAGGGGCCGUCAUUCAUCCCAUUUCACCUUUCAGGAAACUGUUGCUCCCUGAAAGUUAUGACUCGCCCCACAGCUCUCUGCCAAUAUGUGGCAGAGCCCCGACUCCACUUCCUUUGUAUUAACUGGGCUCUUACACCUGCACUGGGGCCCGGGAACAGCUCGCACUCUGAGGGUGAGGGAAUCUCCCAUCCUACUUCCCACGUCAAUCUUGGGAAGGCUCCAUCUUAGCUUAGCUUGCUUAAAUUAGUGUCUCCAUCCUCCCCUGAAGGUCUGAGAGGCCCUCCUGCCAGGGCCAAGACAAAUCUGUUUUCAUUCCAUUAUGGUUUGGAUCUAAAAUGUCUGCUGAAA